AUUGAACGCUGGCGGCAGGCCUAACACAUGCAAGUCGAACGAGUGGCGGACGGGUGAGUAAUGUCUGGGAAACUGCCUGAUGGAGGGGGAUAACUACUGGAAACGGUAGCUAAUACCGCAUACCAUCGGAUGUGCCCAGAUGGGAUUAGCUAGUAGGUGGGGUAACGGCUCACCUAGGCGACGAUCCCUAGCUGGUCUGAGAGGAUGACCGCCCACAUGGUAACGGAGCCACGGUCCAGACUCUUACGGGAGCCAGCAGUGGGGAUUAUUGCACAAUGGGCGCAAGCCUGAUGCAGCCAUGCCGCGUGUAUGAAGAAGGCCUUCGGGUUGGAAAGUACUUUCAGCGGGGAGGCGUAACCCGCAGAAGAAGCACCGGCUAACUCCGUGCCAGCAGCCGCGGUAAAC
Molecule: ribosomal RNA, 405 nt
Filed under: uncultured bacterium
Lineage: Bacteria
Description: partial 16S ribosomal RNA
Rfam family: Bacterial small subunit ribosomal RNA
Source: RNAcentral